GGGUGUGUGUUGGAGGAUGCAUUGCCCCCUUCGGCGAACCGUGAAUUAACACCACCACAACACCGCCAGGCUGCUCCCGGCCAUUCGACAAGCUAGGGCGAUAUUACAGGUUAUGAAAUUUGGUCCUCCAGUGAUUUUAUGCUUCACGGUUGUUUCUAUGGCUUUGAUUGUGGAUAAAUUUAUAUGAUGUACUGCUUUGCAAUGCAGAAGCUUUGGUUGUCCAGUGAUUGGUCUAUCGUCUAAUUGAAGCGCAUGGUGGCAUAUUUGGGCUUGGUUUACCAUUAUUAGGAGUUCCGCUUCAUCACCUAUAAUAUCAGAAUUCCUCGGUUCCAUGUUUCAAGGUGUCAACAAGCAGAGGUAUUAACUGCGCUGGCAGAUGAUAAUGCUUUAAUGGAAGUAAAAGCGUCCAUUAGUGCAGCUCGGUUCAUUGGAUCCACAUUGACACAAUGAUGCGAGAACGCGUUUCUUUCUUGGAAUGGAAAAUCUACAUGUACUUCGCAAACGUAGGUGUGUAUUCCAGCAAGAGAUAGAUCAACAGAGAAAAUUUAGAUUAGAAUGGGUUGAUUAGAUUUCUAUUGUUAAUCUUAUAGCAUUUGAUGCUUGCUCUUGGAAUUUUCUGAAGAACAAUAUGCAGUGGCAGGAGCAUUCAGAAAAACCAGCUAUAUCCAGGGCCAUCAUAGAAUCUUCGGGCUACAAGCAAGGGAUGCUAUGUAAGCUGGAAGGUGGCCUAAAUGUGCUAUAUUUUCUAACAGUAUGGAGAGUUGUGGCAAGUGGAGUAGACAAGCUGAUAUUCACUAGAAUUUCCCUGGAACCCAAUGUUUAGUAAUGGUGGGGCGGAAAGGAUUCAUGCUAAUUGGACUGUUCCCUUUAUUGUUUUUCAAGCAUGGUGUUUGAGGUCUGAAGUUUUCUUUCCAAGAUUGUACGAGUGGUUGAAAUUGCUAAAGGUUAAUGAGAAGCAACUACUAGAGAUAGAAUGACUAAUGAUAAAAUUCAGCUGAUGGAGGAUGGAGUACUGACAGUUGCUGAGGCUGAAAAGAUAAUUUAAAAAAAAGGGUGUAUGAUAUACAAAUAUCAGGCUUCAAAGUUGGAAACGAAUUGUCAAAUUGGAAUGAAAUAUACAUUGUUUUACAUCAUACAAA
Long non-coding RNA from Lolium rigidum, 1139 nucleotides. RefSeq lists it as uncharacterized. The transcript is spliced from 2 exons. Lineage: Eukaryota; Viridiplantae; Streptophyta; Magnoliopsida; Poales; Poaceae. The record is from RefSeq and is a predicted model, not a curated record.